RNAcentral lists this ribosomal RNA (930 nucleotides) under Trifarina earlandi. RNAcentral describes it as "bacterial SSU rRNA". It matches the Rfam family "Eukaryotic small subunit ribosomal RNA", at positions 1160 to 1677 of the family's 1831-position model. Lineage: Eukaryota; Foraminifera; Rotaliida; Uvigerinidae. The record is from RNAcentral.
AAGGGCACCACAAGAACGCGUGGAGCAUGUGGCUUAAUUUGACUCAACGCGGGAAAUCUUACCGGGUCCGGACACACUGAGGAUUGACAGGCAAUAUUAAUAUAUACUUUUUUUCAUUCCUUCGGGUAUGUUAAAAUGUCAUAUAUUAUGUUAAAUAUGCUAGUCCUUUCAUGAUUAUGUGAUAGGUGGUGCAUGGCCGUUCUUAGUUCGUGGAGUGAUCUGUCUGCUUAAUUGCGUUUCACUAAGGGCCUAUACAAUUACGUAUGUUGUUAUUACACUUUGACCCCUCCUUCACGGGUGCGUGUGUCUUUGACUGUUUCAACUCAUACAAUUAGGUCCUGAAGGCAACGAACGUGACCGCAACCUCUUGUUGCUUUCGUAUACCCUUAUAACACAGUUUUUAUGCUCUUACGUAUUAAUUUCUGUGCAAGAAAGCUUUUUAAACUAGAGGGACCGCUGUUAUCUUCUUAAACCAGAGGAAGGUUGCGGCAAUAACAGGUCUGUGAUGCCCUUAGAUGUUCCGGGCUGCACACGUGCUACAAUGAUUAUUGCAGUGAGCAUCUCAUUUUUAUAUACACCGCAUGCGCGAGUCCAUUUAUUCAGUUUCUUACCUUCACGGGUAUCGCUGUUUUAAAUGUGUAUCUCUGCGCGCGGUAAAGCCUGCUUCGAGAGUAAGUGGGUAAUCAAUUAGAAGUAAUGAUUUCCUUUUUUUCUGCACACAUAUAUACGGCAGUUAUACCCGGGUAACCUUGUUGUUACUUUCUGUGUGUAUAGCUGUACCCUUUUUCCGUAUGUGCGAUUGUCAAUUCAUGGUGGGGACAGACCAUUGUUAAUUGUUGGUCUCGGUCUUAACUAGGAAUGCCUUGUACGGGUCUUUGGUUCAACAAACCACCCGGAAUACGUCCCUGCCCUUUGUACACACCGCCCGUC